AACACAUGUCAUAAAAAUCUCCUCCUCUCGUUGUUAACGGCGUUGUUCCCCUGAAGCUUAUAGAAGCAUCUCGGUUGCUUCCUCAACCAUCCAACCAAUCGGAAACCUUUCUCAGGUUCUAAGGUUGUUGGUGAUUUGUCUUUUAAUUAGAGACUCAUCAUACUUUGCAGUAAUCAGGUAAUCAUCUCAAUUCUUUGCUUUCUGUAUUCUCGUUUGGAAGAUUAUUGUUUAUUAGACUUCCUCUGAUAAUAGAGUAUUGACUUUGUGCUAUUUUGUAAACAAAUAUAAUGAGGGUUUUGGGUUUUCCUUAGAUUACAGCAACACAACUCAUAACUUUUGUAGUCAUCAUAUUGUUAAUUUUUUGCUUCAAUUUGGGUUUUCACAUGAUCAAAUAUCAUUCCAUCUCAGUAAGGGAGACAAUCUCUUAAGAUUACUUUUAAGGAAUUACUAAGGAAUUGUAUGUUGAUCAAUAUUUUGUCAUUGUCUUAAGAACUCGUGCAUUGAUAGCUAUUAUUGUUUACAGAACUUGGCCUUCACUUUGCAAUUUAGGCUGCACCUCUUUAUUUAGGUCACAUUUUAGAUCAGUUAAAUGACUAUAAUCAUCAAAAGCUAAAUCUUUUGAUGUAAUCUGAAACUGGUUAUCAAAAUUUGGUUUUUAAUGAAGGGUUGAUGAUAACAGCCCAUCUUUUGCGUCGUACAUGAAAAUAAGGCUCUGAUUCAAAAUGUGAAAAAUGUGCUUUCAAUGCAAUGUUUGUUUUAGAAAUCAAAAUGGGGAAGGAGAGGCGAAUGUAGUUAAGGAGGUUGUGGAAAUAUAUACGUUGGGAUCUUCAAAGAAUAAGAUUACUACUUUGAUAUAUAUGAUGAAACUAUCAUUAAGUUUAGAUCACCAAUUUGGGUAUGAAUUGACUUUUGGUUAUCAAAAUUGAAUUGGAUGCUCAUUUUGUCUGUUGUAAUCCGUAACUGAUAAAAUUGAAAUUGGAUUUUAUGCUUUUUUGGUCCAAUGGUUUAUCAAGAUUUGGAUAUAAAACCAUUGAAACCUUAUAUUUGCACAGAGGUGAUUUGGGUAGUUGGUGUACUAAAACCUUUUAAUAAAACUUAAUAUUAAGAUUGAGAGGUCGUUUGUACACAAGAUGGUCUGAACGAUACUAAAUUAUAUGACCAUAAUUUAAAGAUGUGGACUGGAUACAAAACAUUUCUUUGCUAUCGUUGCUCAUUUGGUUUGUUUUUUUUUUUUCAAGUCUAUUUUGUUUAAGUUGGUAGUAUAGUAGAUUGUUAUGACUGUGCCAGUUGGAGCUUGAGCGGGACAACAGUUACCUGAGAUUGAUGAAUGUGAUUUAGUUUAUUGUAGCUACGUGUAUAUAGAGGCAUGGAGCCUUGUGUUUUUUAUAAACUGAAGUCGUUUGUUUGUUUUGUCGUUGAUUUGAUUGGUGUUUUGAUUAUCUGUUUCUAGAUUUUGUGCAUUUCUUUUGUUUUUGGUCCAAGAGACCCUUGCAGUUGUUUGUUCCCUUGAUGUUGUUCAUUUUGCAGUUGCAGUACUAAGCUUCAGUUUUGUAAUUUAUUUUGGAAAGAUUCCUGAAAAAAAAAGUAGAAAGGGAGCAGGUUUUGGUCUAAACGUUGAGCCUCUAUCGUUAUCUAUGUGUAACUAACACUAUCACAAUUACUGUAGUUAAACUAUAGAAUAACUACUGUCUUAAACUUUGUUGUUAAUAUCCUUCAUUUGUACAUUUAUCCUUCUAAUUUAAAUUGUCAUUUUGGUUUCA
Argentina anserina (silverweed cinquefoil) is the source of this 1760-nucleotide long non-coding RNA. RefSeq lists it as uncharacterized. Lineage: Eukaryota; Viridiplantae; Streptophyta; Magnoliopsida; Rosales; Rosaceae. The record is from RefSeq and is a predicted model, not a curated record. The transcript has 3 exons.